UUAGACUAAGUCAUCACCCUCCGAAGAGUGCAGAUGUCCCUGUCUGUUUUAUCGUCACUUGCAAUCCCAAACACAAACAAUUCUCAUUCUUAUUAUCAAAACCUUCACUUGCAUAAACAAGUUUGCAUAGUAAAAAUCCAACCUUCCCGGCAUAACAACAAAAGAUAAGAAAUUUCAGCAAAACCAGGCAAUAAAUUUGCUGGACCAGGGUUUUGGGCUAAACCCAACUCCAAAGUUUUCUUCAGCUACAAUUCGGAAAAAAUUCAGAGAACAAGAACAGAAACAGUACAGUAAUCAUAAAGCCUCAUGCCUCAGAGUAAAUUUGUUUCAUAGAAAUUAAUCUCAAAGUAUAUUUAACACCAUCACAGGCAUGGGUAGGCAUACUUCUUAAUACUAGCCUUAAACAAUGAAAACAAACACAGAGAUCAAAACAAUACAAGAUGAGAAUGCUUCGCAAUACUGAGAAUUGGCUAUGAAUCUCAUACUCAAAGUGGCAGGUGAGAAACGGCAUACAAGGAGGAGGGUGCAGAAGAGGAGAGGGUUCUAGACUUC
This 552-nucleotide long non-coding RNA is filed under the name Prunus dulcis (almond). RNAcentral's name for it is "sRNA ncRNA". Lineage: Eukaryota; Viridiplantae; Streptophyta; Magnoliopsida; Rosales; Rosaceae. The record is from RNAcentral.